This 498-nucleotide ribosomal RNA is filed under the name uncultured bacterium. Its description in RNAcentral is "partial 16S ribosomal RNA". It matches the Rfam family "Bacterial small subunit ribosomal RNA", at positions 30 to 523 of the family's 1533-position model. The record is from RNAcentral.
AUUGAACGCUGGCGGCAUGCCUUACACAUGCAAGUCGAACGGUAACAGGUCUUCGGAUGCUGACGAGUGGCGAACGGGUGAGUAAUACAUCGGAACGUGCCUAGUAGUGGGGGAUAACUACUCGAAAGAGUGGCUAAUACCGCAUGAGAUCUACGGAUGAAAGCAGGGGAUCGCAAGACCUUGUGCUACUAGAGCGGCCGAUGGCAGAUUAGGUAGUUGGUGGGAUAACAGCGUAGCAAGCCGACGAUCUGUAGCUGGCCUGAGAGGACGAUCAGCCACACUGGGACUGAGACACGGCCCAGACUCCUACGGGAGGCAGCAGUGGGGAAUUUUGGACAAUGGGCGCAAGCCUGAUCCAGCAAUGCCGCGUGCAGGAUGAAGGCCUUCGGGUUGUAAACUGCUUUUGUACGGAACGAAAAGCCCCGGGUUAAUACCCUGGGGUCAUGACGGUACCGUAAGAAUAAGCACCGGCUAACUACGUGCCAGCCGCCACCGUAA